This is a non-coding RNA of Macaca mulatta (Rhesus monkey), 505 nucleotides long. The record is from RefSeq and is a predicted model, not a curated record. NCBI's taxonomy places the organism in Eukaryota, Metazoa, Chordata, Mammalia, Primates, Cercopithecidae.
CAACCUCUUCACUCAAGCUAUGAUUUUCUGAGAGAAAAAGUUAGAGCUGUCAAGAAGAGGAUAUAUAUUUCCUAACAUUGAGUUCAUGAAAUGAUGUUUAAAGAUGCCUCCUGCAAAAAUAGUUAGAGAAAAUGCUAAUUAUGUGAUAUAAGCAGUUUUGGAGAGUUCUCCAGCUUUUGAUGAGAAAAACUACUUAUUUCUGAGUCAGUGAGGCAUUGGAUCCACAGAUACUUUAUUGUUGCCCAGGCAUGAAAGCAAUGACCAACAGAGAGAUGGAGGUGCUAAGAUAAGGAACUCUGGAAGAAUGAACAAUGGAAGAGGUUAGCCAAAUAGUGCAAGUAAACAAGGAAAGACAAUAAACAAACAGCCUAAGCAAUUCUGAAAUGGAAUGUAAAAGCACUGAUUUUCCUUAAAUGUUUUCUCGUAAUUAAAAAAAGUCACUACCCAGAGAUCGUCAGCUAUUAGUGAAGUUUUUGUGUCUAAUUUUUAAAUAAAUUAUCUGUUU